This 212-nucleotide long non-coding RNA is filed under the name Mustela putorius furo (domestic ferret). Its description in RNAcentral is "lncRNA (ENSMPUG00000029568.1)". Lineage: Eukaryota; Metazoa; Chordata; Mammalia; Carnivora; Mustelidae. The record is from RNAcentral.
CUUGACUACCGGCGCUUCUUCAUGUUUGUCGUCAAAAACAAAAAUGAAGAGACUUGCAGAAGUGUAAGCAGGAAUGGUAUUUUAUUGAACACCUGCUUUGUGCAACCACCAUUCUGUGCUCCAAGGAAAAGGUAGUGAGUGAAACAGACAAGGGCCCUGAUAUCUCCUGCAGGCAGGGAGUAAGGUAAAAGAGAUGGACAAAAACUAAAUGG